AUGGCCGCGGCGCGGCGGUGGCGGCGAAAAUGUAGGACGCGGGACGCAGUGCUGGCGCUGCUCAUCGCCUCGGUGCUCGCGCCUCUCGCGCUCUACAGCGGCGCACCCAUCUCCCCCUUCUCCGGCCCCGCCCUGACCGGGAGCGCCUUCGACCGUGAUCCCUCCAAUUUGAUUUCUCGGAAUGAGGCGGGGAAGCGCCUGAACGCUCUGCCGCAGGACACAUUUGAUCCUGUACCGAAGGCUGCAUCGGAUACAGGAGCGAACAAUGUAGGCGAUCAGGGCACUCAACUGGGACAGAACGGUGGAAUUCAGCAAGUUGUCAUGGGAAGCAAUAUAGAGAUGCCAGGUGAAUCCAGGGGUAGUAAGGACGGCGGUGUGCGCAGUGUAGAAGAGGCGAAGGUGUCGUCACAUGAUACGAGUAUUACUCCGGAGGAGGGUGCUCAGCUCACUAAACAGAGUGGCCUGACCAAUUUUGGUGCAGCAGGGGAUAACAAAGUUCGUGCAAUGCACAAUGCUGGAGAUCUAAAUGCCCAUUUGGACAAGAAUGAUGAAAAAUCAUCUCAGCAAAUUACAGACUCUACGUCAAAAGAGUCUGGUGCAAUGAUAACUAGUAGUAAUACUAGUUAUUCCCCAACUUCUUCAGAUAAGACAGUACUUGUUCUUAAGGACCAGUUGAGAAGAGCGAGAAGAUACAUUGGAUUUUUACCUUCUAGAGGCAAUCAUGGGUUUGUAAAGGAUCUCCGAAGAAGGAUGAGGGAUAUCCAGCAAGCACUGAGUGGUACAACCAUCGAUAGGCAGUUACCAAAGAAUGUCCAUAAAAAAAUUAGAGCGAUGGAAUCGAUAUUAACAAAGAUCAAACAAGUCCAUGAUAACUGUGCAGCUGCUAUUGAUAAGCUACAAACAAACCUUCACUGGACAGAGAACCAGCUCGAGGCUAACAAGCAAGAGGCUACCUACACAGCACAGGUAGCAGCUAAAGCUCUGCCAAAGAGGCUUCAUUGUCUUGCACUGCGGCUUACAAAUGAGUACUAUACAUCCAGUUCCAAAAAUAGGCAUUUUCCAUAUCAAGACAAGUUGGAAGAUCCGCAACUACAUAACUAUGCAUUAUUCUCUGACAAUGUACUUGCCGCCGCUGUGGUUGUGAACUCAACUCUUAUACAUGCUAAGAAACCAGCAGACCAUGUCUUCCAUAUUGUGACUGAUAAGCUUAACUAUGCUGCAAUGAGGAUGUGGUUUUUGGUGAAUCCCCCGGUUAAAGCUGCUAUUCAGGUUCAGAAAAUUGAAGACUUUACAUGGCUAAAUUCGAGCUACAGUCCAGUUUUGAAGCAACUGGCGUCCCAGUUCAUGAUCAACUACUACUUCCAUACUCCACAGAAUAAACCUGAUAAAAAUCCCAAGUUCCGGAACCCCAAGUACCUGUCAAUUCUCAAUCACCUGAGGUUUUAUCUUCCUGAGAUCUUCCCAAAACUUAACAAGGUGUUAUUUGUCGAUGAUGACAUUGUAGUCCAGCAGGACUUAAGUCCACUUUGGUCGGUAGAUCUCAAAGGCAGGGUUAAUGGUGCUGUCAAAACCUGUGGUGAGGUUUUCCAUAGGUUUGAUAGGUACCUCAACUUCUCAAACCCUCUUAUCGCCAAGAAGUUUAACCGACGUGCAUGUGGGUGGGCAUAUGGCAUGAACAUGUUUGAUUUGUCUGAGUGGAGAAGGCAGAAUAUUACUGCUGUGUAUCACUACUGGCAAGAACAGAAUGAACAUAGACUGUUAUGGAAGUUAGGAACACUCCCUGCUGGCCUGGUGACAUUCUGGAACAACACCUACCCUCUCGAUCGCUCAUGGCAUCUCUUGGGCUUUGGAUACAAGCGGAAUGUCAACCCAAUGGAUAUCGAGCGGGCUGCAGUCAUACACUACAACGGAAAUCUGAAACCUUGGCUUGAGGUUGGGUUGCCAAAAUACCGCAGUUACUGGUCCAAGUAUGUCAAUUUCGAUCACGCGUUCAUAAGGGAGUGCAACAUACAUCCAUGA
RNAcentral lists this ribosomal RNA (2019 nucleotides) under Triticum aestivum (bread wheat). Its description in RNAcentral is "partial small subunit ribosomal RNA". The record is from RNAcentral. Lineage: Eukaryota; Viridiplantae; Streptophyta; Magnoliopsida; Poales; Poaceae.